RNAcentral lists this small nuclear RNA (33 nucleotides) under Cervus elaphus hippelaphus. The record is from RNAcentral. Lineage: Eukaryota; Metazoa; Chordata; Mammalia; Artiodactyla; Cervidae.
AUCACUUCUUGGCCUUUUGGCUAAGAUCAAGUG